RNAcentral lists this ribosomal RNA (520 nucleotides) under uncultured bacterium. RNAcentral's name for it is "bacterial SSU rRNA". It matches the Rfam family "Bacterial small subunit ribosomal RNA", at positions 25 to 518 of the family's 1533-position model. The record is from RNAcentral.
CAGGACGAACGCUGGCGGCGUGCCUAAUACAUGCAAGUCGAACGGUCUUUCUAUGGAAGCUUGCUUCCACUGAGAAGAUAGUGGCGAACGGGUGAGUAACACGUGGGUAACCUGCCCAUAAGAGGGGGAUAACAUCCGGAAACGGGUGCUAAUACCGCAUAGUUUUCUUGAUCGCAUGAUUGAGAAAGGAAAGACGGCCUUUGUGCUGUCGCUUAUGGAUGGACCCGCGGCGUAUUAGUUAGUUGGUGAGGUAACGGCUCACCAAGACGAUGAUACGUAGCCGACCUGAGAGGGUGAUCGGCCACAUUGGGACUGAGACACGGCCCAAACUCCUACGGGAGGCAGCAGUAGGGAAUCUUCCGCAAUGGACGAAAGUCUGACGGAGCAACGCCGCGUGAGUGAAAGAAGGUUUUCGGAUCGUAAAACUCUGUUGUCAGAGAAGAACAAGUUGGAGAGUAACUGCUCCAGCCUUGACGGUAUCUGACCAGAAAGCCACGGCUAACUACGUGCCAGCCGCCGC